This 3047-nucleotide long non-coding RNA is filed under the name Ananas comosus (pineapple). RNAcentral describes it as "long non-coding RNA (ACOM_LNC033042)". Lineage: Eukaryota; Viridiplantae; Streptophyta; Magnoliopsida; Poales; Bromeliaceae. The record is from RNAcentral.
GAAUCACUAAACUCUGUCACCUUACUCAAUGUGUGUGUGUGUGUAUAUAUAUAUAUAUAUAUAGAGUUGAGCUAGAAUACUUGUAAAAGUAUUAUGUGAGUGGUGCUUUUGAGUUUUUAGCCAUUGGAUGGAGAGAUGUGAGGUUGAGAUGAUGGUGGUAGGUGGUGGUAGGUGGAAUAGUGUUUGAUCCAAGGGCUAUUAGCAAUCAAGGAGUAGAUCCAAUAGCUAAAAACCUAAUAGCAUCAUGGGGGUAAUACUUGUAAAAGUAUUCUAGCUCAAUUCUAUAUAUAUAUAUAUAUAUAUAUAGAGUUGAGCUAGAAUACUCUCGAUAGUAAACGAAGCGUUUUACUAUCGAGUUGUUUUCGAUGAUAGAGCUUCCAAAUUGACGAUCGGCUCCGUUGAACAUGAUCUAUACCACUUGAAGUGUUUAGAAAUCAAAUUUCAAAUCUUUUCGACAUCAUUUGCCUAAUGAUCAAAGGGUUUCAAAAUUUGUAAUUUUAAUGGUGAAUAAGAGACGUUUUUUCGUUUAACGGUGUAAAGAUAUCCAAAUCAAUUGAAUUUUUGUUAGAAAAUUCUUUAAACUAUUUAAAACAAGAUCUAUACUCUUGAUCUUGAUUACAAGACUCCUAUCAUCACUUUUUAAAGAAUAUUCAUUUUCAGCCAUUCAUUUUUUGUUCACUAGAUGGAUAAAAGAAUAAUAUCGAAAGUGCGUGAAAUUUGAUUUCUAGGUAGUUUAAAUGGUUUAGAUCAUAUUUAACGGAGCCGAUCGUCAAUUUGAAAGCUCUAUCAUCGAAAACAACUCGAUAGUAAAACGCCCCGUUUACUAUCGAGAGUAUUCUAGCUCAACUCUAUAUAUAUAUAUAUAUAUAUAUCACCUUCAUUUAACAAAUGAAUUUGGGGAAUAAAAACAUUGACAUUGUAGUACAAUUUGGACUAGUUUGUUGAUUAAUUGUACUUGUAAAAUCGAUGCAUGUGCGCACACACACACACACACUUUCUCUCUCUAUCUCUCAUGUUACAUAUUAUUGAACAGUGGUACAAUGUAGGUUGCAACUGUAAGGUGAAUAUUUAGAACUAGUAAAUCAUAAGAUUUUGCAAACAGUACUAUAGCUAGAUUCAAACCUACAUAUAUGCACAUUGUUUAAGCAUGAUAACUACUUGUAUACCUAUGACUAGGUGCCAUGUGAACUUUGGUUUUAGCCUUUGACAAAUUUCAAGAACAAGUCCCUUGUGUUAGUUACUUUGUCUUCAUGCACCCUUUGGCAUAUUCUUGUAGCCAAACAGAUCAUUUGCUAGUGGGUUAACUUAAGAUGAUACUUUUAUGUCCCCCCUAAUUAAUUAAUAUCCAAUGAUCUAGUGAAUAAAGCUACAAUUUGAGCUUUAAAUACUUUUAACCAAAGUCAUUCUCUGUGUACCAAGGGAGUUGAUAUAAAUCUGCUUAUCCAAUGAUCACGGCUCAAUUUUAUCAUAUAUAUAUAAUCUAUUUCAAUCUGAUUUGCCUGUUUCUUUCAUUUUGGCUCCAUCUAAUUCUCCCUGAUUAGUUUCAUCGAGCUGUAAAACUUUCUCUGUCUAUCAGCAUAAGCUUUAAUAAGUUAACUAUAUAAUACGUGCAAAGUGACAGAUCGAAUGGUGGUAUACAUUAAUUGUUUCUUGGAACUAUAAGAUGGAUGCCAUGAGAUCAUCUAGAAGUUCUAGAAGCGGCAAAUCGCAAGACUUUUGCAAACCCUAGCUAGAUCCUUACCUCCAUGCACAUUGUUUAAGCAUAGUAAGUGCCUGCAUAUGCCUACGAGAUUAAGAUGCCAUGUGAACUUUGCUAUUAGCCUUUGACAAAUAAGCUUUUAAGAACAAAACCCUAGAAUUUACUUUGUCCCCACCCUUUCAUAUAUAUAUAUAUAUAUAUAUAUAUAGAGAGAGAGAGAGAGAGAGAGAGAGAGAGAGAGCUAAGCUCCUAUGCUUUCGAAAGUAAGGAGGCUUUCAUACUUGUAAGUUGUUUUCAAUGAUGGGACGUCUGAUUCGGCGAUCGGUUUCGUUAAACAUGAUCUACGCUAUUGGAACUAUCUAGAAACCAAAUUUCAUAAUUUUUUGACUUCGUUUGACUGGUGAACGAGCAGCCUCAAAAUAAACGGCUGAAAAUAAAAAUCUCAUAAAAACUAGUAAUAAAUGACUCAAAUUUCAAAUCGAAAGUAUUGUUCUUACUCUUGAUAUUAAGUAGAAAUUUUUAUCAAAGUUUCAUAUAAUUUGGAUGCUUCUACACUGUUGAAAUUAAAAACAUGCCACAUCGACCGUUAAAAUAGUUAUUUUUGAGACCCUGUGAUCGCUUGGUAAUUGAUGUCAAAAAAUUAUAAAAUUUGGUUUCAUGAUAGUUCUAAUAGCAUAUAUUAUGUCUAACGGAGCCGAUCAUCAAAUUGAAUGUCCUAUUAUCGAAAACAACUUAUAAGUACGGAGGCCUCCGUACUUUCAAAAGCACGGGAGACGUAAUAAUAUAUAUAUAUAUAUAUAUAUAUAUAUAGAGUAGGGCUAGAAUACUUGUAAAAGUAUCAUGGGAGUGAUACUUGUGUGUUUUUAACCCUUGGAUGAAGAGAUGUGAGGUUGAGAUGAUGGUGGUAGGUGGUGGUAGGUGGUGGUAGGUGGAAUAGUGUUUAAUCCAAGGGCUAUUAAUAAUCAAAAAGUAGAUCCAAUGGCUUAAAACCUAAUAGCACCAUGAUGAUGAUACUUGUAAAAGUAUCAUAGCUCAACUCUAUAUAUAUAUAUAUAUAUAUANNNNNNNAUAUAUAUAGAGUAGGCCUAGAAUACUUUUACAAGUAUCACCCAAGUGAUACUUGUGUGUUUUUAGCCAUUGGAUCUACUUUUUGAUUACUAAUAGCCUUUGGAUCAAACACUAUUCCACCUACCACCACCUACCACCACCUACCACCAUCAUCUCAACCUCACAUCUCUCCAUCCAAGGGCUAAAAACACACAAGUAUCACUUAGGUGAUACUUUUACAAGUAUUCUAGCUCUACUCUAUAUAUAUAUAUAUAUAUAUCCUUGUAGCCAUACAUAUGCU